CUACGUGCCAGCAGCCGCGGUAAUACGGAAGGUCCAGGCGUUAUCCGGAUUUAUUGGGUUUAAAGGGAGCGUAGGCUGGAGAUUAAGUGUGUUGUGAAAUGUAGACGCUCAACGUCUGACUUGCAGCGCAUACUGGUUUCCUUGAGUACGCACAACGUUGGCGGAAUUCGUCGUGUAGCGGUGAAAUGCUUAGAUAUGACGAAGAACUCCGAUUGCGAAGGCAGCUGACGGGAGCGCAACUGACGCUUAAGCUCGAAGGUGCGGGUAUCAAACAGGAUUAGAUACCCUGGUAGUCCGCACAGUAAACGAUGGAUGCCCGCUGUUGGUACCUGGUAUCAGCGGCUAAGCGAAAGCGUUAAGCAUCCCACCUGGGGAGUACGCCGGCAACGGUGAAACUCAAAGGAAUUGACGGGGGCCCGCACAAGCGGAGGAACAUGUGGUUUAAUUCGAUGAUACGCGAGGAACCUUACCCGGGCU
Molecule: ribosomal RNA, 477 nt
Filed under: uncultured bacterium
Lineage: Bacteria
Description: bacterial SSU rRNA
Rfam family: Bacterial small subunit ribosomal RNA
Source: RNAcentral